Molecule: non-coding RNA, 104 nt
Organism: Chelonoidis abingdonii (Abingdon island giant tortoise)
Lineage: Eukaryota; Metazoa; Chordata; Testudines; Testudinidae
Source: RefSeq, a predicted model, not a curated record
GGGGAAGGGGUGGUAGGCUGCGCACUGUAUAUAAGCCAAAGUCCUUAAUAUGGAGACGUCUGGUCACCCUAGCUGGGGGGAGAGGAGCAGGUUGCUGACCCCGC